RNAcentral lists this ribosomal RNA (500 nucleotides) under uncultured bacterium. RNAcentral describes it as "partial 16S ribosomal RNA". It matches the Rfam family "Bacterial small subunit ribosomal RNA", at positions 30 to 523 of the family's 1533-position model. The record is from RNAcentral.
AUUGAACGCUGGCGGCAUGCUUUACACAUGCAAGUCGAACGGUAACAGGGUGCUUGCACCGCUGACGAGUGGCGAACGGGUGAGUAAUGCGUCGGAACGUGCCGAGUAGUGGGGGAUAACGCAGCGAAAGUUGUGCUAAUACCGCAUACGUACUGAGGUAGAAAGUGGGGGACCUUCGGGCCUCACGCUAUUCGAGCGGCCGACGUCUGAUUAGCUAGUAGGUGAGGUAAAGGCUCACCUAGGCGACGAUCAGUAGCGGGUCUGAGAGGAUGAUCCGCCACACUGGGACUGAGACACGGCCCAGACUCCUACGGGAGGCAGCAGUGGGGAAUUUUGGACAAUGGGGGCAACCCUGAUCCAGCCAUGCCGCGUGCGGGAAGAAGGCCUUCGGGUUGUAAACCGCUUUUGUCGGGGAAGAAACGGUCUGCGCUAAUACCGCGGACUAAUGACGGUACCCGAAGAAUAAGCACCGGCUAACUACGUGCCAGCCGCCGCCGUAA